UACGUAGGGGGCUAGCGUUGUCCGGAAUCAUUGGGCGUAAAGAGCGCGUAGGCGGCUAGAUAAGUCCGGUGUGAAAGUCACAGGCUCAACCUGUGAAUGCCGCUGGAAACUGUCUGGCUAGAGUCCGGGAGGGGCGAGUGGAAUUCCUGGUGUAGCGGUGAAAUGCGCAGAUAUUCGCAAGAACACCAGUGGCGAAGGCGGCUCACUGGCCCGGUACUGACGCUGAGGCACGAAAGCGUGGGGAGCAAACAGG
RNAcentral lists this ribosomal RNA (253 nucleotides) under uncultured bacterium. RNAcentral describes it as "partial 16S ribosomal RNA". It matches the Rfam family "Bacterial small subunit ribosomal RNA", at positions 524 to 776 of the family's 1533-position model. The record is from RNAcentral.